GAGAGAUCCAGCAGUGAGUCUGACUCCUAGCCCCGUGUUCCAGACUCUUUUCCCUCUGUAGCACAGUAAGAACUUUAAUUCCUUUUGACUACUGACUUGAUUUCUGGUGGGGGCUUCUUCUGGUUUUAUGGUCUGACCAUUUGGUGAUAUCUGUAAAUGGAUUGAUUGUACAUGAGAGGUCUUGUCUACACUGGGUAAAAACCAACAGAGAAUCUGGUUUGCUAAUAAUCUGUCUGUUUGUCUAUUUGGAUAUUUUGAGCUCAAAUCGAUUUAGAAUCCAUAAGAACUAGAAAGAGAACAGUUCUUUGCUAUGGAAGAAUAAAUUUUGUAAUUCUGUGUCUGCACUUGAUUCAGGACUAAACUUUUAUGAUUAAAGCUACAAACACCCUACCUGUAUCUGUAGGUAUGCUUAUGUGUCUCUGAGUGUGGAAUAUAUAUCUAUCUCUGGGUGGAAUUACCAAAUCAGAGUAUAAAAUGUCUUAAAGGAGCUCAUUUCAAUUGGCUUAAGAUAAAUAAGUGCUUAUAUAAAUUAAAUAUUCCUAAAAUUUGCAAAGAAAAAACAAGGAAAUUGAACUUUCAAUAAUGUAAAUAUCCUUAAAAAUUAUAUAAAAAUUAAUUCAAAUGCUUUAAGAAUUCAAGUUCAUGUACCUUAGGUAAAAUGGGUUAGUUUAAUGUUUUUGUUUAAUAAAAACAACUGUGUCUCAACAUUGAGUAUAAUACAAGUUUACUUGUAUAUUUGGGUCUGUUGUUCACCUACUUUCCCAAAAUUAAAUACUAUAUCUUGUAUUCCUAAAAUUGCCUUUGAGAUUUCCCAGAGGGUCCUUGAAAGACCACAAAGGAUUUGUUCUUUUACGUUCUAAAAAGAAAGAUGCUAGAUAACUAUGUCAAUGUGAUAUUUUGCUACUGGUAAGUUGCAUACGAAGCAUUGUCAAUUCAGGAAGUACUUAGCCUUCUCUAAAUAAAAUUUAUACCUAUUUCAAAAAUUAAAUGCUGUAUGGAAAGUUCCUAGAGAUUUGUCAGUGUCCUAGCUGUCGAUGGUAUGUUUCUAUUUACUAGAGAUCUGGUGCUUCCUUGCCUGAUAGUAGACAACAGUGUAGUGUUACUGGCCAUAAUUUCAGAUAUUUUAAAAUGUGAAAUUCAAUGCAACUUUACCUCUUUAAUUUGUAUCAGGCAUCUUCUAGCCUAGUGCCUCUUACGUGGGGAUUUACAUCAUUUCCCUAUGGAGUUUUUUCAUAUUUGGAUGUUCAGGACAUACUCCAGAUUUACUGCAUCUGUAUACUUGAUGAUUUUGAUACAUUCUUGGCACAUUCUAACUAGAUGCUUGAUAUAUUCAUGGUGUAUUGUGUCUUGGGAUUAUUAUAGUUUAUAUCUGAACCUUGUUUUUCUCUGUAAAGAUUAUGUUACCAAUUUUUGUAAAUCAGAUGUAAUAUCUACCCUUCUUUGAAAACAAAGUUAAUCACUAUGUUUAUGGAUAUUUUAUCUAAAGCUUUUUGGCUUGAUUUUAUUUUGUUCUGCCUGCCAAAAAAACCACAUCAUGUGUUAUCAGUUGCAUUAUUUUUGUAAUAAAUUCUGAUCAGAUCUUUCCCCUUUAAAAUUAUCAUUAAUUGACAACAGCAAUUUUAAAUCUCUUGUUAUCCACAGAUAAUUUUGUUUUCUUUUCUUUUGUUCUGGCCCUUCUCUGAAAGCACUUAUAUUCAACUACAAACAAGAAAGUUUUGACCCUAAAAAAAAGAUUGUCUCAGGGCACCAUGGGAAAGAAAUACACCAAAUAAUCUUGGACACAGGCUUCUGAUGGCAUUGUAUAAACCACUUUGAAGCCAUAAUAGUUAGGCUAUCCAGAACUCUCGUCAAAAGCAAAUAGUUUAAGGAGACUGAUAAUCUAUGAUCAAGUGGAACAAGAUCAUUAUAUGGGGUAGAAUGAACUGAUGAGGGAUGAUUACGGUUUUUGUUUGGAAUAUUUUUGAUAUUUAAUAUUUUAGUUUCUGGAUAUAACAAACAUCAUUGUCUUUCCUCUAUCUUUUACCUCUAGCUCUAUCUAUGUAUAAUUUAUAACAAUUUAGUAGAAUGUUUUUAUAAAGAGAAAUGAAACAUGUAUUUUUAUCUCCCUACCAGAAUUCAGAAACUUGUAUGUGUAUUCUUAUUUUCAUGGCAAUAUCGUUAUUUGCAUUGAUUCAAUAACAGUUUAUCCUCCUUAUUAACAGCACAUAUUGAAAACGAUAGUUAUGCAACCAAGGCUUUGCUUAGAAUGUCAUACUUGAUAAUGAUGCUUACUGAAUCAGAAUUACCAGACAAUUUUAAGGAACUUCACUUGACUUGAUGGAGUCAAUGAUUACAAAGCCCUCUUUUAAAAAGUGGUCAGAUAACUGGCUUACUGAGUUCCCAGCCUUAGAGAUCAAUAAGGAAGUUCACUUCCAGGCAGACCCAGGAACCUCAUAAUAAUUUGGGGAUUUUGACAAGAGAGGAACUUCAAAUUUGUAGGUACUGCUCAUGAAGUCUGAGAGGGAAUUCCUGGUUUGGCUUCCUAGCCUGAGAGAGGCUUUUAAGAGUCAAAUCUAGAUUCUUUCUGAAACUUCUAGCAAAGCAAAUUUAAGAAUACCCACACUAUCUAGCACAAUGCUUGGAACAUUAGCCUUGCCCAAUAGUUAUAUCUUGAAUGAAUGAAUGAAUGAAUGAAUCCAUAAUAAUUAUGUUAACAAUCUUAUUCUUUUGUUAAUUCAAUAACUAUUUAAAGAGUUGAUACGAGUUGCUUUCUUAGGUUCUAGAGAUAUAAGGGUGAAUGAGAAAGACAUCACAGAAAUUACAGUCUGCUUCAAUCUUUAGAUAAGCAUCUAGAAAUCAGUCUUUCGCCUCCGUCUUUCAAAUUUAGUUUUAGGUAAGGAUUUUUCUACAAAGUACGUGACAGGAACUUUCCUUCGGGGAAAAAAGCACAUUCUGAAAUGUAAAGUUAUCUCGAAAUCUAGAUGGAUACAGGCAGAAAACAUUUUUAUGAGAGUUGGCUACAAUGUAGAAAGAAUUUCAGCAAGUGAAAAUAUUCAAAGCAAAUUUGGCAGAGAAAAAAAGACAUGAGGUUUUAAUUUUGUACUUAGUCCAAUUCAUAAAUAUUUGUUAAGUAAUAGUCCUCCAUGUGGUGAAAUUUAAACCAAUGAUACAAUGAGUAUUUUUUUUAAUUUAUUUUUUUUAAUUUACAUCCAAAUUAGUUAGCAUAUAGUGCAACAAUGAUUUCAGGAGUAAAUUCUUUAGUGCCCCUUACCCAAUUAUCCUAUCCCCCCUCCCACAACCCCUCCAGUAACCCUCAGUUUGUUCUCCAUAUUUAUGAGCAUCUUCUGUUUUGUCCCCCUUCCUGUUUUUAUAGGAGUUUUGUUUCCCUUCCCUUAUGUUCAUGUGUUUUGUUUCUUAAAGUCCUCAUAUGAGUCAAGUCAUAUGAUUUUUGUCUUUCUCUGACUAAUUUCACUUAGCAUAAUACCUUCCAGUUUCAUCCACGUAGUUGCAAAUGGCAAGAUUUCAUUCUUUUUGACUGCCAAGUAAUACUCCAUUGUGUAUCUAUACCACAUCUUCUUUAUCCAUUCAUCCAUCCAUGGACAUUUGGGCUCUUUCCAUACUUUGGCUAUUGUUGAUAGUGCUGCUAUAAACAUGGGGGUGCAUGUGUCCCUUUGAAACAGCAUACCUGUAUCCCUUGGAUAAAUGCCUAGUAGUGCAGUUGCUGGGUUGUUGGGUAGUUCUAUUUUUAGCUUUCUGUAGAACCUCCAUCCUGUUUUCCAGAGUCGUGGCACCAGUUUGCAUUCCCACCAACAAUGCAAAAGAGAUCCUCUUUCUCCGAAUCCUUGCCAACAUCUGUUGUUGCCUGAGUUGUGAGAGUUAGCCAUUCUGACAGGUGUGAGGUGGUAUCUCAUUGUGGUUUUGAUUCGUAUUUCCCUGAUGAUGAGUGAUGUUAAACAUUUUUUCAUGUGUCAGUUGGCCAUCUGGAUGUCUUCUUUGGAGAAGUGUCUAUUCAUGUCUUCUGCCCGUUUCUUCACUGGAUUAUUUGUUUUUUGGGUGUUGAGUUUGAUAAGUUCUUUAUAAAUUUUGGAUACUAACCCUUUAUCUGAUAUGUCAUUUGCAAAUAUCUUCUCCCAUUCUGUCGGUUGCCUUUUGGUUUUGCUGAUUAUUCCCUUUGCUGUGCAGAAGCUUUUUAUUUUGAUGAGGUCCCAGUAGUUUAUUUUUGCUUUCGUUUCCCUUGCCUCCAGAGAUGUGUUGAGUAAGAAGUUGCUGCGAUCAAGAUCAAAGAGUAUUUUGCCUGCAUUCUCCUCGAGGAUUUUGAUGGCUUCCUGUCUUACAUUUAGGUCUUUCAUCCAUUUUUGAGUUUAUUUUUGUAUAUGGUGUAAGAGUAUUUUUUAAAUUCCUGUUUAAAAGACCUGCUAAAACAGGUGUGCCUGGGUGGCUCUGUCGGUUGAGCAUCUGACUUCGGCUCAGGUCAUGAUCUCAAGGUUCAUGAGUUCGAGCCCCGCCUUGGGCUCUGUGCUGGCAGCUCAGAGCUUGGAGCCUGUUUCAGAUUCUGUGUCUCCCUCUCUCCCUGCCCCUUCCCUGCUCAUGCUCUGUCUCUAUCUCUCAAAAAUAAAUAAACAUUAAAAAAAAUUUAAAAAGACCUGCCAAAAUAAAUGUAUGUGUUUUACAAUAAUUCACUGCAUAUUUCUUUCAGCCUGAUAUGAAAUUCUAGAAAAUUGAUAAGUCUCAGACUUUCCAAGGAGCCAAAAAAGGAUUUGCAUGCUUAUUGGAAAUAAAUUCUUUAAAUGAAGAUGCUAUUUGUUUGUUUAGUCUUCUUGUUCUUUUUUAGGUUAAUAUUCCCAUAUUUUCCAACAUUCUUGAAACUUCUAUAAUAAUCAGACAGAGUAUAAUUAAGUGAAAGUAUCAUGGUGAGGUAACCAGUUAAAAUAAAACUGAGACUAGUAUACUAAAUAAUUUGCCUUUGAUUGCAUGUAACAUAAUUAUUUUCAUCAGUUUAUCACCCAAAGGUUCUGUACAGCCACAUUAUCAACACAUUAGUUUUUCCUUUGAAUUUUCCAGGAAGACAUUUGAAUUUUCCUUGACCAUAUACUAAAAAAUAUUUCUGUUCAUGGGAAUUAAUGGACUUUAGAUAUUAGUCUAUUGGAACCUCAUGGAACUAUCAUCUGAUGGAAGUAUCAUCUUUAUUUGCGGUUAACAUUCCCGUUAACUUCUUAGCAUUCCUGUCAAUACAGAGGCAUUUUUAUAAAUUCCCCAAGACAACCAACUAAGAAAGAGGAAAAUAGAAUGCCUGAGUGGCUCAGUUGGCUGAGCAUCCAACACUUAAUUUCCUCUAAGGUCAUGAUCCCUGGGUCAUGGGAUCCAGCUUCACAUUCAGCUUAGCACAGAGCCUGCUUGGGAUUUUCUCUCUCCCUCUGCCCCUCUCCUAGCUUGCACUCUCUCUCUAAAAUAAAAAAUAUAAUAAUAAAAUAAAAGAGAAAGAAAAGAAAAGAAAAGAAAAGAAAAGAAAAGAAAAGAAAAGAAAGAAAAGAAAAGAAAGAAAAGAAAAAAAGAGGAAAAUGGUACCCCAAACUAUUAAUUUUCAACUUAAGUCCUUUUGUUGCAAUUGACUAUUUUGGAGUCUCAUUUUUUUUUUUUUUACCUGCAGAGGUGUUUCGUUUUGUUUUGUUUUUUUGAAUCUGCAGGCUUUUUCUCAAGCAGUAGAACUUGUUAAAAGCUUUCAUUCAAUAAAUGACACAUGAGUAAAUGAAAAUGAUGGGAGGCAUUUAUGCCUAUCAUACCAUUCUAAAUUCUACAUUUCUUGCGAUGCAUCUCUUGAACUGCAUCUGCUCUUUCAAGAAAGCACUACCUUGUUGAUGAUUGAGCACUUGAAAUCCAUUAUGACUCUGAAACAAGCUGAGGAUUCCCAAUACUGAAAAUCUCCCAGUCUGUAGCUUUCAUUCAAAAAAACUCUGUCUCCUAUUUCUUCCAGGAUAAGAAACCAGAAUGGAACAAAGAGAUGGGAAUUGCUAUUCUGUGGGGAAAAAAUAUCAGCUGCUAGCAAGCCAGGGUUUUUGAAAUACAGGAAAUCUCAUCAGUGUUUUUACAUCUAACAUUGAGACCACUUCAGACCGAUUUCUUGGCCCUUUAUUGAACGCUCAGCACCAACACUGAAUGCAAAAAUGCUAUACAAAUUAGUAGAGUAAGAACAAAUCUAAAAGUCAACUCCAUAAAGAACAUCCCAAACACAUACCCCGGGAUAAGUUCUCCCCAAAUUAAACUAUAUUGACUGACAAGUCUACUGCAAUCCCAAUUAAACAGAUUAUCAAUAGAUUAUAGAUAUUUUGCUUCAUUAUAUUCUGUUAAUAUCACCUUGCGAACACGGUUGUGUAAAUGUCAUUAAUUCAGAUUUUGAUUGAUUCUUUCCCAAAUGUGUGCUGUGCUGCAAAACUGCAAAGACACCUGCAGCUAAUAACCAUUGUUAACUACACGGAACAGCUAAUCAUCCAACCUGAAAUCUGAGUCUCAAGUUGGAUAUAUUCAAGAGGGGAUAGUAUAAAAGUUCUUGAGUUCAAGAGGUUUAGAAAAUUUGUUACUGAUGCAUUACAGUGAACAUUUGGAGCAAUACGUCAACUGAUGAGUCUAUUUCCUCAUAAUAUGUUAAAGACCAAUCUUAAAAAAUUUGGUAUUUGUGAGAAAUAAUGUAUUACCUCUUACCAAUGCUGAUAUCAUCCAAAAAAAUCUAACCUAGAAUGGCUAAGAGGUUUACUAAAGGAAGUAUGCGAUCUUCUGUCUUUCCUAUUACGCCUCUAUCCUGUUAGUCUUGAGUGUAUUUAAAAGGAUUCUUCAUGUGAACCAGCUAAUCCCCUUCUCUAGUCUUCUCCCUGCCCCAAUUAGAGGGGAAAAAAAUAUAUCCACAUGAAUUAAAAACUGAAUCACUAAAUAAAUUCAAUGAAUCAUGUUUUUUACAGCAAGCAGAGCUUCAGGUUUUUACAUUUCUAUUUAAAUGUCAUUGUUAUACAAAGAACACGUGUGCAACAUAGGAAUAUAGGAAAAUAUAGGCAAAAAGUAAAAGAAAAAAUAUAAGCUACCCAUAUUCUCAUCACCUAGAUAGAUAUAACACUUUUGAUAUUUGGUAUAGAUUCCUUCAGACAUAUUUUUUACUUUUCUAAGUUUAUUGGAAGCAAAAUAAUCUUUGAAUUGUCAGUUUCUUCUAAAUUUUAAAAUGAUGAGAAAUGUCCAUGCAUAUUAGUUAAUUGGACUGCCCAUGUCAGAGACACUUCAUGACCUUCAGAAUCUACUCUGUAGAAUGUAAAGAACAAAACCAGGUGGCUUUUCUUAGUAUCAACAAGAUAUUGACAGAAUACCAAAGAGUGAUACCAGGAAUUAAUUUAGACAAAAUAUUUGAAAAGGAGAAGGAAUAUUUUAUCUUCUGGCUUUCUCUAAGCAGUUUCUUCAAGUAAAAAUCUCAGGUUGCUGGACUAAACACAUCCCAAACACAUACCCCUUGAUAAGUUCUCCCCAAAUUAAACUACAUUGACUGACAAAUCUACUGGAAACCCAAUUAAACAGCAUUGUCAAUACAUUAUAGAUAUUCUGCUUCAUUGUAUUCUGUUUGGGAGGCGAGGAGGUAAAUAUUUUGUGAAGCUUAAUUACCUAAUCUUUAAUAAAUACGCUAAUAUUGCCUCUUUAACUUGAAAACACUGAGUUGACAUCAGAAUUUUAUGGUGCCAAGGUUCCACAUAAACUGCAAUCAUUCCUUCCUAAACAACAUGUAAAUGGCUUAACGGUUCUUUGAUACCCAUAAAUAUAUUUGUUACCUACACUUUACAAGUCAUAUGGCUUUGUAAGUAAGUAAUAAAAUUAACCCAUGUUUUUAAAUGUACAUAAAAUCCUUAUCAAAAUUUCACUAAACACUAGAGUAAAGGAAUAAUCUUUGUUACAUAAAGAUGAUAUUUUUACUUAAGCUGGAAGAAAUUGAGGAAACCCGUCUUUGAUUCUGCCAAAUUUAUCUGGAAGAAUUUCAACCCACAAUUGUCUCACAAAGUCUAAAUAAGUGUUAGCACAAAAACAGUUUCUCUUUUUGUUUUUCAGAGAUUUGUUAGAAGAACAAUUUAUCCUAUGCCUCCUUAUGUCUCCUCUCCCUCUUUCAUUUUUCCCCUGCCAUAGGUAAACAAAGCAGCCAAUAUAUCUGAAGCCAAAUCUAAUUUCUUUAAUAAAAUGUGAAGUUCAGCCUCCAAAUAUUUAAUUGUGUAUGGAAGUGUACAAAAGGUAUUUAAUAAAACAAGGCUUAUAUCAGUGGAAAAAAACUUUCAUAACAAAACAACUCUUAUUAUCCACUUCAAAUCAGACAUAAAUUUACUUUUAAAGUAGGAGAGAGAGAGAAUGCAAAUGUAUUUGUUUGUUAUUUCUUACCUCUUAUUCACAAAACCGGAAGAAAAAUUUGCCUCCAGAAAAUUCCUAACUGUACUACAGGGUCUAUUUAAGCUUCCUGAUACAGAAUAAUAAUAGCCUUUCCCAAAUACACUUUUCCUUUCCAAUCAACUCACACUGUGGUAUUCAUGAAAUUCCUGGAUGGAAUCUACUCUCUAACUGGAAGGUGAACAUGUGACCAAGUGUAAGCCAUUAACACAAUCUAUCACAGAGGCUAGAGUACUUGGUUCAAUGUCAGGCAUUUGAGCCAGGUCAGGACAAUAAAAAUGACUCUCAGAAAAUUUGUUUGGAAUUCCAGAAGAGCCACUUUCAGAUGGUGUGAUAUGGUAGGCACCGAGCAUUAUAAUACACAUGGUCGAACUAUGAUAGUACAGGGAUAGGAUUCAUUUUUGCUUGAUCAGUGUGUUUUUAUAAUAGAACUAUAGAGGGGACAGAUUGAACAUCAAAGUAAGAUGGGUACUAUAGUACUUGAUCACUCAUUAGAUCAGUUCCCUUGAAAUCUCAAUGCCAAGUAAGAUGGUCUAAUUAUUAUUGGUCGAAUUACUUAUGUUUUAGAAAGAUUGUUUUAGUAAUAAUAAAAUUUGAAAAAUUUUUUCUGCCUGUGUUGUACUAAUACCAAUAUUGUUUUAGUAAUAAUAAAGUUUGAAAAAUUUUUUCUGCCUGUGUUGUACUAAUACUAAUAUAACUUUUAUCCAUCAUAUACACAAAAUAUAUUUAAGAACUGAGCCUUAAAUUGAAUUAAUUUUUCUUACCUUUUUAGAGAGAAGAGAAAACAUGAUAACAGUCUGCAUAAGAAAAGUCCCAUACAAAGUAUCAUAUGAUUUUCAUCCAACAAUGAAAGUAAGACCAUGACAAACAGAACUUCAAGUAUGUCUUACUUUUUGUAGCAUUCUCAAAUGAAGAUCACACAUUCACUCAAGCUUCAGCAUUUCAAGACUUAAAGAAAAGAAAUACUCAAGCUAUUAUUCUGAGAAAUUCUUCUAAUAUCCAUGAAGACUUGAUACUCUGUACACAAUUUCUGUAUUAUAACCAUAUGCUUACAUGUCUAUACGCUUUCAAGACUUUAAAUUCAUAGAAAGGAGGGCCUGCAUUUUUUUAAUCUUCCUCCCACAGUUUCUGAAACACAAUUGUAUUAA
This 9527-nucleotide long non-coding RNA is filed under the name Lynx pardinus (Iberian lynx). The stretch from base 4408 to 4492 matches the Rfam family "tRNA". The record is from RNAcentral. Lineage: Eukaryota; Metazoa; Chordata; Mammalia; Carnivora; Felidae.